RNAcentral lists this ribosomal RNA (254 nucleotides) under uncultured bacterium. RNAcentral describes it as "partial 16S ribosomal RNA". It matches the Rfam family "Bacterial small subunit ribosomal RNA", at positions 524 to 776 of the family's 1533-position model. The record is from RNAcentral.
UACAGAGGGGGCAAGCGUUGUUCGGAAUUACUGGGCGUAAAGCGCGCGCAGGCGGCUUCUUAAGUCUAUGGGUGAAAGACCGGGGCUCAACCCCGUGUCAGCCCGGGAUACUGGGGAGCUAGGGACAUGUAGGGGCAAGCGGAAUUCCGGGUGUAGCGGUGGAAUGCGUAGAGAUCCGGAAGAACACCGGGGGCGAAGGCGGCUUGCUGGGCAUGGUCCGACGCUGAGGCGCGAAAGCGUGGGGAGCGAACAGG